UCCAUUAAUAUAUUAUACUUAUAGUAUAUUAGUAAAUCAUAAAUAACCUCUAACUCAAAUAUCCAUCCUAUCAAAUUGUCCUUGUGAUAUGCAACCCGAAAUGGACCAUGCUACUCUCGGGUCAAGUACAUACCAAUUAUAGUUAUGGGCUUAGACACCUAAUCCAACAGUCUCCCACUUGGAUAAGUCUAAUAACUCUUAUUGCAAGUACGACUCCAAAAUCCCAACUAGCAAUCGUAGCUCUUAAAAGCCGUUGUCGAACUCAGACCUAGUUAGUCACGCGUCCAUUAGAUAAGGGACCAUAUAUUCCUCCAUUGUACAAGAUAUAAUUUUUGGUUAAGGUGUCUAAGUCCAUAACUAUAUUUAGUAUGUACUUGACCCAGCAUGGCAUGGUCCAUUUGGGUUGCAUCGACAUUAGGGAUGAACAUAGGCGGGNNNNNNNNNNNNNNNNNNNNNNNNNNNNNNNNNNNNNNNNNNAACCGGAACCAAAACCGCUCUAGGCAGUUCUUAAAUGUUUGGAACCAAUCCCGGAACCGGCGGUUCCGAUUCCAGGAGCGGGUAACCCGGUUACAUUAAUUUUCUUAACUUUUGUCGAUAAAACCGCAAUUUAGUUCGAUCCAAAUCAAGUCAAUUCGGACCACAAAAUCGGACCAAUAUAUUCUAAACCGGUCUAAGUAACACACAUAUUUAUAUGAAAUAAUAUAUAUAUAUAUAUAUAUAUAUAUAUAUAUAAACCGNNNNNNNNNNNNNNNNNNNNNNNNNNNNNNNNNNNNNNNNNNNNNNNNNNNNNNNNNNNNNNNNNNNNNNNNNNNNNNNNUAUAUAUAUAUAUAAACCGGUUCCGGCGGGUACCCAGCGGGUAGCGGUUCCGAAAAAACGAGAACCGGAAUCGCUUAAGGUGGUUCCAUAACUUUAGGAAUUGGAAUUAGAACCACUUAAGGCGGUUCCAGUUCCAAAACCGAGAGUUCCGAGGCGGUUCUGGUUCCAAAAGCAGGUACCCAGUUUCGAUGCUCAUCCCUAAUCGACAUCUCAACUGUUAAAUAGACAAAAUGAGAAAAAAGGACACUUACGAUUUAAUAAUAUGUUAUAAGUUCUAAUAUAUUAAUAUGAAAUCAUAUUAUUUAAUUAGUAUUGAUCAAGAAUUAAUUUGGAAUUAAUUUUGAGAUCAAAUAAAGACUAAUUAAAUAUAUGGGGAUUGAUAUGUAAAUCAUUCAUUCUUAUAUAGUGGGCUUAUGGUUCAUCAUUCACUAAAUUGGGCUAGGACCCAUUGGGUGCUCUAUGGAUGCUCCAUAGAGGUUAUAACCCAUAGAUCAUGGAGGAAAAUGAAAAGCCAUGUGUAACGCUCUGUUCCGAAUUGACUCCUGGUCUGAGGCGGUGGCUCAAAUGUCGGUCAUUAUAAGGAUUAUGGUUCUUGGGAAGGUAAGAUCUAGGCCCUUUUGGGUGUUGGUGAUGUAUUAGAAGUGAUCCGGGUGUUCAGUUUGUGUUUUGGAGCCUAGGGGUAUUUCGGUAAAGUGGUAGUUCAGGCUUUUAUGGAAAAUGGAUUUUUGUUCGGAAGGUCUUAAGAAAGGUUUGAGUUGUUAAAAGUGUAGGUCUUCCCAUCACCUUUCCGUGGAUAUAAGGAUCGUCGGAAUCGGGCUUAUAACAAAGAAGUUAUGGCCUACGGAAGUUUCGUGGUUUUCAGGCUUAGCCGAGUACACGAGGCAUACACAAAGUGUACGCGGGGCGUACUAGCAACGAAGGUAGUAUGUUGGGCGUACUGACUAGGAGGAUCGUGAAUGUUCCCCGGAGUACGCUGGGCGUACCAUAUGUACGAUGGGCGUACUCCAGUCAGAUCCAAACCCUAUUUUAGAGUCUUGGACAAUAUUUAAACUCCUUAUCUCAUAACCUAACCCUAAUAUAUUCAGCCUCCACCCCUCUAAACCCUAGAAAUUGUCUUAUACCAUUCAUGGUAGCAAUUUGAGCAUAUGGAGACCAUUUUUGGAGUGUUUGGCCCAUUUUCAAGAAGGUGGAGUUAGAUGCAAAGAUGGAGAUCCAGAAAAGGCUUAUGGAUCUGACUUUUGUGACUCAUUUUGAGCUUGAAGAAGGUAUAAAGUUCUGAACUUGACCAUUGAAUGCUUAGAUCUAUUAUGUUGAGUUUUUGGAUCUUUUGGUCCCAAGAAUGGAGCUUUAUGGUUCCAAAUCCAUUUUUAGGCUUAGGGUUGCCACCCUUGGUGCUAACUAAGUCCCUAAGACAGAAACUUGCCAUCUUGGAGGUCUUAAUGGAUUCAAGCAAGUGUUAUGGUCAUUUUCAUGGAAGUAGAUUGUUAUACUUUGAUUUUGAGCUCAUGUGGGUCGUAUAAGUCACCAAGUCAGUGACUUUAUGGAUUAAGACAUUAUGUAGAGCUCAGAUCUGUAAUUUGGUCCCUUGGUUUGAAGCAUUAAGCACCUAAUGGAUUUUGUGCAUCAGCCGUUUGUAUGUUGGGCAUACAAUGUAGUAUGUUGCGCGUACAACCCUUUUGCCCAGUACGCAAAGCGUACAGAAGAGGUACACUGGGCGUACGCUCUCAGGUGGUCUUGGGCCUUUGUGGACUUUGGACCUUUAGGACCUAAUGGUUUUAGGAUUGGGUUUGCUGAUAGUUAGGCCUAAAUGUAUCUUUAGGACAAUAAUGGAAUAGUUGGGCCUAUUGGGCCUUGUAGCCCAAUAUAGAAAUGGACUUUGCAUUAUGGGCCUCAGUUUGGGCCAAUUCUUGGACUAGCUUGUUGUUGGCCUUCGUGGGCUAAUUGGUUCAGGAUUAUUGACUAAGGUGAAUAUUGGGCUUUAGUAUAAGGUCCAUUAGGAAAGUCCAGGCCCAAUUUGGAAAACUGGGCCAUUGAUGGUUAUAUAGACAUUAUAAUGUUGGGCUUUUGUUUUGGGUUUGGGCCUUAAUUUUGGCUCAUAUUGGGCAGGGGUAAAAUGCUCAUUUUACCCCAUUCAUGGAUUAAGGAUUAUGGUAUGGGACCUAAUUACUAAUUGGGGUAUAUUGAUUGGUAGUGACAUCACGGGAAGCUGGCGGGGUAGCAGCUAAGGAAUUCAUGCGGAAAGCAUCUGCAGUGUGAGGUGAGUCUUCUCACCAUGCCAAUGGGUCUAAGGCACCAAGGUCGGUCCAUUUUAUGUUAUGUGGUACAUUAGCUGUAGUAGAGAUAUGUGGUAUGAUAGUUAGCUCUAUGCUAAGUGGUAUGCUAGUGAUUAUAUGAUAUGUGUUAUGCUAGUUGUCUUUGUGAUACUUGCAUGGAAGACCCCGGGGGAGCCUGUGGGAUUGGAUGUAAGACCAUGUGGGGUAGCCCAUGGCAGUCCUAGGUAAAGACUAUGUGGGGUAGCCCAUGGCAUUGGAUGUAAUGGCAGUCCUAGGUAAAGGCCAUGUGGGGUAGCCCAUGGCAUUGGAUGUAAGACCAUGGGGGUAGCCCAUGGCAGUCCUAGGUAAAUACCAUGAGGGGUAGCCCAUGGCAUUCUUGCAUGUUUAUGUAUGCAUGGCUUAUGUGAUAUAUGUAGCUUUUAUAGCUAAUAUGGUAUGUGUUAUGUGGAAUGUGUGUGGUGUAUUCUCUGGGGGACUCACUAAGCCUUGUGCUUACGGUUUAUAGUUUUGGUUCCAGGUGUCAUCGAUUUGGAAAUGAAGAGCUCGGAUUGAUCGUAGUGCACAUACCUAUGAUUUCUGUAAUGAAUGAUUUUGGGAUGAACUCUGAUAAAUGUUCACUUAAUGAUGAUUUGAAAUGUUUGGAAUAAAUGGUAUCAAUGUUUAGGUAUAUUAAAAAAUAAAUUUUUACCCUUGAUUUUUGGGUCGUUAUCCCAUGCACAUUAGGGUUUACAUGGUGUAACCCUACAUAUGGCACACUAUAUAAAGAGCUCCAUAGCUAGCAAAAUCGGCCACUGUUGCAAGCAAGGAGGGAUAGCCGAUUUUCUGAUCAAAGUGUUCUUCUCUUAAGUUAUUCCAAGAGUUGUGGUGUUGUGUGAAACAUUUGAGGCAUCACAUUUGAGGUGCUAGGCUCACAAAGUCUUAAGGAAUCCAAGUAACUACAAAGGUAUGUCAUUGUAAUAGUUUUUUAUUACAAGUUCCCCAUGCCAUUCUAGUUAGGAUGAAAACCUUGGAAAAUUCUUAUUUGCAUGAAUAUUAGAGAAAACAAAGAUCCAAGGUUUCUAGGGUUGCAUUUACACCAUAGGAGUGCUAGAAUGCUCAAAACCCAUCAGUGGUAUCAUAGCCUAUGCUUCUUUUCUUUGUAUUUGAUGCAAACUACUUGAAAAAGUCGAGAAUUCUGAAAUCUGGACAGUGAACUCGCCGAGUCCAUGGGGGGACUCGACGAGUCCAUGGCAAAAUGCAUCCUCCUCAUCGAGUAGGUUCUUGCACUCGACGAGUAGGAGCCCCUGUGUGUAGAAUUUCGAGCUUUGCUGCUAGAAAUGGACUAGAAUCAUUUCCCUAAACUGUUUUGGACAUAUAAAACCUGUUUUUGAAGGUGUAAUGAUUAUGCUAGUCCAUUUUCAUUGGUUAUUAUCAAAAUUUCAAGUUUUAUAUGUGUUUGUAUGAUUCUUGAAAUUGUUGAUAUGAAAAUUCAUGCUUGUGAGUUUUAGUUGAUCAUAUAAAUUAUUUGCAAAUUGUUUGUUAGUGGAAUUCUUGAUUUAAAUGUCAUUAACGGAGUCCAUAAUUUGUCCUCAAGUUAUGGAUUACCAAAGUCACUUCUUUAAAAGUCGUUAAAGAACCAUAGGUAACAUAAAAUGAAGAGUCUUCAUUUUAAUAAACCAUUAAGCUCAUCAGUUAUGAAUAUGAAAGGUUUUGAAUAGUUUCAAAACUUGCCCUCAAGUUUUGUAAUUUGUAAAGUCACUUUAGAGAACUUUAAUUCCAUACCCUAUAGUUUUAAAAGUCAAAAUUCAUCCUUUAUACUUUAUAAUAUUACAAGUUAAUAUAUAUAUAUAUANNNNNNNNNNNNNNNNNNNNNNNNNNNNNNNNNNNNNNNNNNNNNNNNNNNNNNNNNNNNGUUGUUGCCUAUAAAAUGACAACUUAAUGGGUGUCUACUCUCACUCACCGCUUCCUUGACUGCUGGAGGGUAGUUAGUCGAACGAGUAGGACAAGGACUAUAAUUGUCAUUAAAAGUAUAAUGAAAAUAUAAUGUAAGUAAAAAUUUUAUAAAUUCCCAUUCUUAGUUACUUUAGGAAAAUGCGAAAUUGGUGCUAUCCCAUGAAAUUACACUUUGUACCUUACCAAGUCGUUGGUGGAGUGUGUGUGGGUAACCGGCACACUAACAUGGACUAGUAAGUGGCAAAGGGUGACUUAAUCUUUAUCAUAGAUCGGUGGAGCGCAUGUGGGUAACCAGCACAUUGAUUAGGUGAUAAAGAUUAAGGGUACCAAGUUAAUUUGCAUGGUUAUUCACACCUUGUUCGUGAUCCUUGGCAUCCCAGUCAUAAACUUGAGAGGGCACAAUCGAGAUUUAAACAUGCCAUUCAAAAGUUCAAUGAAUCUCAAAAGAAUCUAGGAGUUUCAAUCCAUUUAAAAAACCUAAUAAUUUAUUUUGUUUUUCAUGGUGGAAAUUGGUGAAUCGUCAUUCACCCACCUUCAAAUAUUUUGUAGCUUGGAUUACGGCAUCCCUCUUCCAAGUCGUAAAGUAUUAUGUUGGGUCCUAGCCUUAAUAUUUCAUUCGAGUGUCUUAUUAAGGAUUCUAUAUCUAAUCUAAACCUGUCUUUCUUCUUUUUCAGAUGUCUUCCAACAAUGCUGCUUCUGGCUCAAACCCUACCGGUUCCUUCUCUCUCAUAAACCUUUGUGGGAGAGUGAUAUUUGAUGGUACCAACUUUAAUGAUUGGAUCAGGAACACCAAGAUGGUCACUCCUUACGAGGACAAGGAAUAUGUCCUUGACAAUGAGCUGAAAGAUAUUGAUGAGUCAACUGCUACUCCAGAUGAGAUCGCUGACUUCAGGGCACAUGAGAGAUAUGCUACCAAAGCAGCAUGUAUCAUGUUGGCCACAAUGAUAGCUGAACUCCAGAAGUCCUAUGAGGACUUUUACCCUUUUGAGAUGCACAUAGACUUGAUGGACUACUACCAUCAAAGUGCCCAUCAAGAGAGGUAUGAAAUCAUCUUUUCCAUGAUAACAACAUGAAUGAAGGAUGGUGAACCCAUCACGGGACACAUGCAGAAAAUGCAAAGGUUUGUGGACCGUCUGCUGAAGCUGAAUGUGAACUUCCCCGAGGAGUUGGCUAUUAAUAUCAUAUUGCACUCCCUACCUACUCGUUAUGAUCAGUUCCAGAUGACCUAUCACAUGAACAAGGAUGAGGUCACACUCAGCAAACUCCAAGGUCUUUUGAAGACCGCCGAAACCGGUCUCAAGGGUAAACCGGUUGUUACUACUCUUACUCCUAACACCGCCCAUGUUCUGGCAAUCAGGCAAAGUAGAGGGAAGAAGAGGAAGACCCCUUCAAAGGGUACCAAUGGAAAGUCUCUUGAUGGCUCCUCUUCAAGUGGAACCAAAGGUGGUUCCAUCACUCCUUCUUCUAACCCUAAGGAAGCUUAAUGCUUCUAUUGUCAGGAAAAGGGGCACUAGAAACCAAACUGCCCCAAGUACCUGCAAGAGGUUAAGUAUGGGAAGGUCAAACCUACACAUGCAAGUAUUUACACUAUAUUGUCUAAUAACUCAUUACAUUCUACUUCUUGGUUACUUGAUACAGGUUGUGGUAUUCAUAUAUGUUCUAAUUUGCAGGGCCUAAGAAGAAGUGAGGAUGUAGAGCACGGAAAAAUAAACUUGAUCAUGGGUAAUAGGAAAGCUUCACCUGUCACCAAGUUUGGACUUUAUUCUUUGUUGCUAAGUAUUGGGUUAGUAUUAGAUUUGAAAAAGUGUUGUUACUCGUCUGAAAUGGCGAGAAAUAUUAUUUCCUUUCAUGGUUUGUACAAACAAGGGUUUACUUUUUCAUUUGAUAAUGAAUGUGGUGGUAUUAAUGUUUUUUAUAAUAAUGUUCUUUAUUUUAAAGCAUUACCUUGUGAUGGUAUAUAUGAAAUUGUGUCGGUUGUAGACAACGUAGGAAAUAAUGUAUUACACAUCGAUUCUUCCACUAGUUUGGAUAAAGCAUCCUUGUGGCACUGUCGUCUUGGACAUGUUAACAAGAAGCGUAUAGGCCAACUCCAGAAGGCUGGAGUCUUGGAGUCAUUUGACUUAAAGUCGUACGAUAUUUACGAGUCUUGUUUGCUUGGAAAAAUGAAAAAGUCACCCUUCACUGGUACUUGUGCUAGGGGUGAAGGUUUGUUGGACCUUAUACAUACAAAUGUGUGUGGAUCCUUUAGAACUGCCACUAGGGAUGCUAACCGCUUCUAUGUGUCUUUUACUGAUGUUUACAGUUGAUAUGGUUAUGUCUACUUAAUCAUGCAUAAGUCAGAAACCUUUGAAAAGUUCAAAGAGUUUAAACAAGAAGUGGAGAAUCAGCUGGGCAGGAACAUUAAGAUGCUCUGACCUGAUCGAUUAGGAGAGUAUCUUAGUAUAGAGUUCCUUGACUAUCUUAGGGAAUGUGGAUUUGUUUUACAAUUGACACCUCCCAGAACACCAUAACUGAAUGGGGUGGAUGAGAGGGAUAAUCGGACUUUGUGAGACAUGGUUCGCUCCAUGAUGAGUUGACUUUUGUUACCAAUCUCAAUCUGUGGGUAUGCCUCAGAGACUGUCGCCUAUAUCCUAAAUCUAUUCCCUACCAAGAAGGUUGCGAAAACACCUCACAAAAUGUAAACUGGGAAAGUUUCCAAUUUAGACCACAUCCAGAUUUAGGGUUGUGAGGCUUUCGUGAGGCGUGAGACUUAGCACAAGCUCGAACCUCAAAGUGAGCGAUGUAUUUUCAUCGGCUACCCACAUAAUUCAUUUGUUUACAUCUUCUACAGACCCAAUGAGAAUGUGGUCUUUGCGGCAAGAAGAGGGGUCUUUUGCGAGAAAGAGUUUAUAAGCCAAGGAAACAGUGGGAGGCAAAUUGAUCUUGAAGAAAUUCAAGAGUCAAGCGGUGAAGGAACCUCAAACCCUAGCAAUCAACUUGAGGAGGAAACUCCUGUUGAUGAGUCCGUACCACUGAGGCGUUCCACAAGAGUUAGGACUUCACCUGAGCAUUACUAUGGUUUUCAUAUUACUGCGGAAGGUGAUGAAUUUAUCAAUGAUAGAACACUGGUAAAUUUGGAUGAGCCUAACAGCUUUAAGGAAGCCAUGGCAGGCCCUGAGUCCGCCAAAUGGAAAGAGGCCAUGGACUGCGAGAUUCAGUCCAUGUAUGAAAAUCAUGUUUGAAACUUGGUUGACAAUGUAGCGGGUCGUAAAAGGGUCGGGUGCAAAUGGAUCUUCAAGAAGAAGACCGACAUGGAUGGGAAUGUACACACUUACAAAGUGCGAGUGGUUGCGAAGGGCUUUACUUAAACUCUGGGAUUUAACUAUGAUGAGACCUUAUCACCAGUAGCGAAGAUUAAGUCUACUAGGGUUUUGUUAGCCAUAGCUGCAUUUUUUGAUUAUGAAAUAUGGCAAAUGGAUGUCAAAACCGCUUUCCUUAAUGGAAAGUCGGCUGAGGAUGUUUACAUGACUCAGCCAGAGGGUUUUGUCGAUGGAAAGCACCCUAAUAGAGUGUGUAAGCUUGACAAAUCCAUCUAUGGAUUGAAACAAACAUCUCACAAAUAUAAUCAUUGUUUCGAUGAGAAAGUCAAAGAGUUUGGUUUUUCGAGGAGUGAAGAUGGGUCCUGUAUAUAUGUUAAGGCUAGUGGGAGUAUAGUUAGCUUUUUGGUAUUGUAUGUGGAUGACAUACUACUCAUAGGAAAUGACAUCCCAACCUUUUAGGAGGUUAAAUCCUGGCUUGGGAAGUGUUUCGCUAUGAAGGACCUUGGAGAAGCUGCCUAUAUCUUAGGAAUAAGGAUAUUGAGAGACAGGAGUAAAAGACUAAUUCGACUUAGUCAAAGUACCUACUUGUAUAAGGUGCUGAAAAGGUUCAGCACGCAGAAUUCCAAGAAAGGUGACUUACCGAUCCAGACUAACGCCAAACUGAGAAAGACUCAGAGCCUGAGUAUAGAGGCUGAGAUAGCUGAGAUGAGUGAAGUGACGUAUGCUUCCGCUGUAGGCUCGAUCAUGUAUACUAUGACUUGUACAUGCCCUUAUGUGGCCUUUUCUUUGAGCAUGGUAAGCAGAUAUCAAGGGAAUUCGGGCAAGGCUCACUAGACUGCGGUGAAGAAUAUUCUCAAGUACCUACGAAGGACUAGGGACUGGGUCCUUACCCUUGGUGGGAGUGAUGUCUUGAGAGUAGUUGGGUAUAAUGAUGCUGACUUCCAGACUGAUAGGUCGGGCUGGGUCUUUACCCUAAAUGGAGGAGCAAUUACUUGGAAAAGUUCCAAGCAAGAAACAGUAGCUGAUUCAACUUACGAAUCAGAGUACAUACCAGCAAGCGUGGUGGCAAAGGAUGCUAUAUGGCUAAAGAACUUCAUUAGAGACCUUGGAGUUCUACUAAUUGUUAAGGAGCCUAUUAAGAUUUUCUGUGUUAAUGAAGGUGUUGUUGCCUUAGUGAAGGAAUCAAGGGAUCACGGGAGAUCCAGACACAUCGACAGAAAAUACCACUUCAUUAGACAACAGAUAGAAGAAGAACUCCUCGUUGUAAAGAGGGUAUCAUCAGAUGAAAACCCAGCAGAUCCCCUCACGAAGGGACUGUGUAGAGUUAAACAUUUGCAGCAUGUGAGGCACAUCGGGCUGAAGGAUGAUAUUAGUUUUAUAGAUUAGACAGCUAUUUCUGAAACUUGUAAAAUGUAAAUUGAAAUUUGAUGAUUGAAUAAAAGUUGUUGUUUAUUUAUAAGUAAGGUGUUGCUAUCUUGUGUCAGUUAUUUACUAUUGUUUCAAUUUUGCAUGUUUUGACUUCUAGAAUAAUUACUUUAUUCAAACUCCCCACAGUCAGUCAUAUGUUGGAAGUAGAUAUGAAUCAAUACUAUCAUGAAUUGGGUUUGUAUAUGUAUAAGGUGCUAGACAUAGGAAAUGGUUGCUACAACAUUCACGAGUGCUCAUAAAUUCUGAGUAUUGGAUUCAAUCCACGCUCACUUGUAUCACUUCAUGGAAUUUAUCUCGAGUGAUCGUGAGACGGUAACAUCAUAUAAGUCUUAAAACCUAGAGAUAUGAGUUGUUGACUAUGCGUUGGUUAUACAUUGAUUGUACGAAAACGCAUUGGUAAGUCGAUGUUAUAAAACGUGCCUUUGUGUAUGAUUCAACAAGUAGUAGAACAAGCAUACGAGUUGAAGUUUAUCUAUUCCUUCUAGUCCUUGGAGGAUUAGAAGCGAUAUCUGGGACCCUUGAUGACAUUUUUCCAUGUAUUUUUCCCGCUGAUAUCUAGAACAGAGGAUUAUAUGAUCACUAAUCUUAAAUGGCAUCAUCAUCUUAGUUCCGUGAGACUUUGAAAGAGCUACGAUUGCCGGUCAAUUCCUGAAGUCAUACCUGUAACUAUAGUUAUUAGACUUAUCCAAGUGCAAGACUAUUGGAUAAGGUGUCUAAGUCCAUAACUAUAUUUAGUAUGUACUUGACCCGGCUUGGCAUGGACCAUUUGGGUUGCAUCGACAUCUCAACUGUUGGAUAGACAAAAUGAGAAAAAGGACACUUACGAUUUGUUAACAUAUUAUAAGUUCUAAUAUAUUAAUAUGAAAUUAUAUUAUUUAAUUAGUAUUGAUCAAGGAUUAAUUUGGAAUUAAUUUUGUGAUAAAAAAGAGACUAAUUAAAUAUAUGGGGAUUGAUUUGUAAAUCAUUCAUUCUUAUAUAGUGGGCUUAUGGUUCAUGAUUCACUAAAUUGGGCUAGGACCCAUUGGGUGCUCCGUGGAGGUUAUAAUCCAUGGAUCAUGGAGGAAAAUGAAAACCCAUACAAAUUAGGGUUUACAUGGUGUAACCCUACAUGUGGAACACUAUAUAAAGAGCUCCAUAGCUAGCAAAAUCGGCCACUUUUGCAAGAAAAGGAGGGCUAGCCGAUUUUGUGAUCAAGUCAUUCCAAGAGUUGUGGUGUUGUGUGAAACAUUUGAGGCAUCACAUUUGAGGUGCUAGGUUCACAAAGUCUUAAGGACUCCAAGCAACUACAAAGGUAUGUCAUUUUACUAGUUUUAUAUUACAAGUUCCCCAUCUCAUGCUAGUUAGAAUGCUCACCAUAGGAGUGUUAGAAUGCUCAAAACCCAUCAAUCAUAUGGACUGAGACACGAAUUAUAAUCAUUCUCUCUUUCAAUAUGUUGUUUCCCGAUUUCCGAUUUAUGAUGACCGAUUAAUUGAACAAAUCAAAUCAGUCCAGGCUUGACCAAGUUCUUAGGGUUGUCAUCACUAAAUCAUUGAGUAAAAGGUAUGGAUAAACUUCGAAUCAUAUGCUUACACUAUUUACUCAUCAAAUCACACACAAUGAUACGUUUUAUAACACCGAGUUAUCGGUGCGUUUACAUAUCAUCAAUGUGCAACCGACUUGCAAAUUGCAACUCAUAUCUCUCGCUUUCAAGAUUAUAAGAUAUCAUCGUCUCAUGAUCACUCGUGAUAAAAUCCAUGAAGUGAUUCAAAUGAGCGUGGCUUUAAUCCAAUACUCAAAUCUUAUUCAGGAGUACUCAUGAACACUGCAUCAAAUUUGUGUUAUGUCUAAAACACCUAGACAUUCUACAGUCAGAUUCAUGACAGUCUUGCCUUAAUACCUACUUCCAAGGUAUGAUCGACUAUGGAUAGUUUGUAUAAUGUUAUUAUUCUGGAAGUCAAAACAUGCAAAGUGAAACACAAGAAUAAUCUAAUCCAAUAUAGCCUUAGAACUUAUGAAUAUAAAUAAAACACCUUUUAUUUAAUCACCAUAUUGAUUACACAUUAUUCAUUGUAUAAUGUUUCGAUUAAUUAACUUAAUACUUGAAUUAGAACAAUAGUUAUCCCAUGAUCUAAGCAUGCACACUAUGUUUACCUAUGGUCCUUACUUUUUGAAAUAGAUCAAUUGUAACCAUUUCCAAUGAUACUCAUUUCUCAAUCCAAAUCCUAUACCAAAUUCUUUCCAUUUACUAUAAUUUGUUAUAUUCAAAACUUAAAUGCAAUAAUCUUUUUGUAAUGUCAAUGGAAAAAGGUCACAAAGACUAUGCCAAUGAUAUUACAAAGUAUUCCUUUUGGACAUUGGUUACGAGACCAAUUCCAUGGAAGCGAAGUCUCAUAUUCAAAACACAUUACUUUGAGCAUCCUUCUUGCAUUAAGGUUUCUAAUCUUACAUAGAUUUUAUGAUUAACUUCCACUUAUGGAACAAUUCCAUAAUUCCAUAUGACUAGCACUCAUAAUUCCAUAUGACUAUCACUUCUUGUCACACCCCAAAACCUGAACGGCAGAAACAUUUUGGGGCGGAGGACGUCAUGUACAGUAUCACAACAAUGCAUAAUAGUAAACAAGCAAAAACAUCAUCCAUUGCAUUAAUAAUAUAAUUUUAAUACAAGUGUGUUCUGUGUAUAGUUUAUAAGUAACCAAAAAUGAAUAGUCCAAAUAAAGACGAGUCUUGAAAGCUCCGUCAUCUCAAAACCUGGUCAUUGGUACUUGUCUACUGGUGACCUGAGAAUACAAGUUAUUUUGAAAGAGUAGAUCAACAUCAAAGUUGGUGAGUUCAUAAGUAUUUUAGUGUCAUUGUUUGUAUGAAAAUGUUAGAUGAAAAUAUUUGUCGGUGUUUGUAGUAAAUGUUUGUAUCUCCUAGAAAAUCCUAUAUAUUCUACUAAAAAGUAGCAUUUGACCAAGGCCCAAAUGUUCUAUGUGUUGUUUGUUUGUAAAAGUGUGUAUCUUUCCCAAGUAUGACUAUCAUUACCAAAAUAUAGUUUACAUUACCAUUAAUGUGAGAAGAUCACAAUGUGAAUGCAAUGGGAAAAUAAUGUUGUACUGUAGUAUUGUAUAUAAGUAACUACCAAUGUACUAACUACCUUAAACCAGUUUGUUAAUUAAGGUAAAUGUGAUGAGGUUGUAACCAUACUUCAUUGACUAGUAAAACACGACGCUCAAAGACAUCAAAAUGGUAUGACAUUCGUCACCUGUAGACCUGCAGGCCCACUAUAGCUAGCAGCAAGGUGUAGGCCGGUCAGUCCCGUAUAGAUCUAUACACAAAUUCACGCUCUUCCUCCAUGAGACUCUGGUUACAAAACGUGAUACAGUAGUAGAUUGUCAUGCCAUGAAGUAGUGGAUCACAUUAAUGUUAGAGUAUUCUAGUGUUUGUAUAGUAUGUUCUAGUGUAUUUUAUGCUCUCUCUGUUCUAGUGUGUAGUAUGCUCUCUUUGUAUAGUGUAGUGUAUGUUCUAUUAGUUUCUCAUCAUAGUAUCUUCUUUUUGUUUCUCAUAAUAGUAAGUUUGUAUUGACUCGUGAAUGAACUGACUCUUGUAUGUUUCAUUGUACUUGAAAUAGUGAGUGGUAAUUCCCUAAACUAUACCUAGUAUGGUUUAAUGGUAAUGUUGUUUGAAUGUCUGAGUAUGUUUGUACACCUUUGCUACCCAAAUGUGCUGAACUGAUGUAAGAACUUUUAUAUCUAUACAUAUAUACAUAGUAUAUAAUUAAGAUUCAAACGACACUCGGACAAAUAACUAGAUACCCUAAGUCCACAACCAAACAAGGAAUAGGAAAUAAAGUGAGUUAUCAGUCCUAAGUCAUUUCAAUCUUACAUAUAUAACUAUAUCUAUAUAGACAUGAUUUUGACAAUAAAAAUAAGUUUAAAGGAGUUUAAUAAAGAGUUUUAACCAUUUGAAUGGUAACAGAUGACUUGAUGCCAGUUUAUAAAAUGUUUUGAAGAGUUGUUUUAUAAAAUAGUUUGAUGUAUAAGAAAAUCCACUUGUUUGACAGUUAUUAAUCACAUGUGAUUGAUAUAACAAGUAUAAUGUUUCUACUUGUAUGCUCCCCCAUAAAACAUUUAAAAUCAUUUAAAAGAUAAGUUAAGGGGUAUGAACUCACCUAUAGUGAGUGAUACGAAUAUAAGAUCAGUUGUAGGAUUGAAUGGUUGCACAAGAUAGAAAUUUUGGGUUGUCACACUUCUGAACAAGAGUUACCUCUUCUCAGAACUUGUCAAUAUGGACCUUCCAAAACUUAUACUAUACUUCCAACUGUCCAUGAGCAACCAAUAUUUGGUAAACCACAGAUUGUCCUCGACAAUUGCUUAAAUAUUUUAUUCAUAUCUCGUUCUAGUCCCUUUGCCCUCUUAAUUCCCUAGGCAUUUGGAAAAUUAUAACAGAUUAAUAUUAUAGCAUAUGUAAUCAAUCCUAUAUCCGAAGAAUAUGGAAUAUGAUUCAUAAUGUCUCACAUAAAGACAUGAUACUUUACCGGUCUUUCGUUAUAAUAUUUCCACAUAUAGACUUUCCUUAUGUUGAAUCAUUUCAACAUAACAUUCACAUAUGUACAUGACUAAAUUCGAUUAAAAUCUCAAUCUAAGCUUUUAGAUUCAAAAUGAAGUAUGAAUUCCUCUCCCUUAAUUAUAGCAAAACAACUUUUCAAACCCUGCAACUUUGCUAAUUGAAACUUUUUUUUUCUGUAACUAACAUUGCUAACUCACAACACUUACCAUUAUAAUUAUGCUCCCACUAGCAUAAUAAUUAUUAUCUUACUAGCAUGACACUUAUGCUCCCAUUAGCUUUGACAUAUACCUAGAAAUCAGUUGGACUUCUAGAAAUCAAUACUUGUUGACUUCCUUACCAAAGUUCAGCUUUCUGAUACAAAAUGUUUUGAUAAGACUUUAUCUAGGCUUCUCAAACUCAUACACCUUUCCUUAGAUAGCUUACAUAUGUGUCUGGAUAAUUUUAGAACUUACAGCAAUAAGUCUCAACUGUAUAGACCUUUUGCCAUUUCUCACAAUUAGAACUAUGAAGAGGGAUGUUGUAAUCAUAAUCUAAUUUGAGAAUGCAAAUAUCACAAUUGCUAUGUCCUUAAAAUCUACUUAGUGAAAGCGUUUCCUCACAAUCAUUUCGUGAAUUAGAGUGAAACCUCAUGUCACUUAGAUUUUAUGGUGUAUGUGUUUAUAUCCAUGUGAAUUUGUCAUAACCAUAAUCACAAGACAAUUUUAGUGACAAAUCCAAACUCAUAUGGACUGAACUUGUUCAAUCUUAAUUUCUUGCCACCUGGCAGCUCAAGGGCCUACCAAUGCUUCCAAGUUGCUAUGCAAAAAAAAAUGAGCACUUAUAGAACUCACAUGCAUUUUCAAAUUCAACUGAAAUGGGCACAGAAACAAGAACAUGUAAACAUGAUAGGUUACAAACCUCAAGUCGUGCGCUAGUGAUUAAUAAUAGGUUUACUCUUGAUUAGUUCUUGAAACUAUUCAAGAUCUUUAAGACUCCCACUGACCUCUUGACAUAUAAGAUUCUCUUUGUUAAGAAACCUUACUUGGCAAAAAAUAUUCAAAAGUUAGUGUAGUUUCUUAUUGAGACAAACACUUCACACAAUUGGUCUUAGUUGGUCUUUGUCUUAUCCAAGACAUCACAACUUACCAAUUUCAAAUGUACAAGUGUAAUAAACAUUUUACUCUACAUUUGAUAACUGCUAUAAACCUUUCUUAAGAUUAUGUCACUCAAGUUACAAUCUUGGAGUAUGACUCUAAGACUUGACUUUGGAACGAAGUAUGAUUCACCUUUUGAUUUAACCAUUUCAACAAUUUCUGAUUAUCCAUACAAGUGCACUUAGAGGAUUAAUUAUGAUAUGGUUCCAUAAUCACUAAGAUGAUACUAAAACAAGAUACUCAAUGUAGGGUUUCAAAGCACUCCAUGGAUGAUGGCAAUGGGCCCCUUAAAAGCCCAAGACUUGUCUUUUCCCUAUAAAUAGUCAUGUAUUAUUCACAAUUAGGGUUAAGAGAGUGAGGCAAAAUGUAGUCGUCACGUUGUGAGGUUUCUUGUAGAGUUAGAUUCUUAUUUCUUAAGUGUAAUUUAUUCCUCAUAUUUGAAUAAAUCGAGUGAUCAUUCGACAUAAUCUUCAUAUUUGUGUUUGUUCUUAUUUUCCGCAUCUUGUUCAUCAAAUAUCAAUUAGGGUUUUAAUCCCAACAAGUGGUAUCAGAGCGGGUCUUUGAAGAUCUGUUGAUUUUUGAAGUAUCGGUUCUUGAUUUGAUGAUUUUAUGCACAAGAUUUUGAAGAUUAUUGGUGUUUCGGCGGUUUGGAAUCAAAAUUCUUGUUCGAUCUACUGUUCAUGAAGAUUUAUGGUAUAUUCUACUGUUCACCGUGGUAUUUUUCUGUUCUUUGAAUCUAAUUUGCUUUGAGAUCAAAAUUUAUUGAUUCAAUUGUUUUUCAAUAAAUUCACACUUGAGUCCAAUUCACGAGUUCCACUGUUAUUCAAUUUUUUUUGGAUCUGAUUAUUACUCAUUCAACCGAUCCAACACCAUUUAUUUGUUCCUGAGCCCAUUAAUGCCAAUUAUUUUUCAUCAAUUCAGCCCGCAUCUUGGUCUUUGAAAUUGUGUGAUCUGGAUCAUAUGGUCAACUCAUCUCCACAGGAAAUCGUUGUACUAUUCUUCGGUUCUUGAAUCGUAAUUUAUGAUCGAUAUUAUUGUCAAAAUCAAUUUUUGAUUUUAUUGAUUUUGGGUUUAAUCUUGUUGAUUCAUUCUUUCAUUGAAUAUCGAUUUUGUAUAGUGAUUGUAUUGAUCUGAGAAAGUCGAAUUUGUCAUUUGUCAAUAAUCGAUCUUGAUUGUCAAAGUAAAAAAAAAGUCAAAAUCGACUUAUGUAAACGAAGAACAGUGGGUUAUUGAUCGGAAUUGAUUUGAAGACAGGUUCACAAUCGCUAAAUGGGUUUUGCAUUUGGGGCUUCAUAUAAUCAAAACAAAUGAAUUUACAAUCAGUAGAGUGAUGUUUGGAAUAGAAAUUCAAUUGGGAAGAAGUUGAUGGUUUGUAGUUGGUGUAAUGGUGCUGCAAGCAGAAUGUGUUUGUGUAUCUGUUCGCAAUUGAUAGUCAAAGGCACAAUCAGAAAAGUCAAAAUUUACCGUGGUUCAGGUGAAUAAUGAGUGAACGCUAACCUGCGAACGUUCACUUGUGAUUGGAUUUGUUGACAUAUAUUCGCUUUGGGAUGUGAUCGUUCGAUUCGGAAGCAAACCUGUGAUUGGGUUCGUUUGUCAGCCCUUGGAACGAAAGUAAUUGGAAAGAAAGAGGGGAGGACCGAAAGCGAACUUGUGGUUCGGCUCGGCUAAGGUUUCGCUUCUUGUUCGCAUCGUGAUGUACCUGGAACAAACUUAAGUUCGGUUGGCUGCUCUUGGAACGAAAGCACUUGGAAGAAAGAAGGAAGGACCAAAAGCGAAUGGUGAUUCGCCUGAUGAAGCUUGGAACGGACCUGGAAGCGAAUGUCUCAAAUGGAAACGAAUGGAACCGAACGCUCGGUUGGGUUCGCUUCGGGUGUAUAAUUGACGAUCUUGGAACGAAGUUAGAUUCAGUCGCUUGUGCUCGGAACGAAAGUAGAUGAAACUAAUUGGAGUUAUAUUUGUAGGUUCGUCUGCGACCAUUCGUUUAAAAUCACCAUUCCAGUCGCAUCCUUUUAUCAGGUUUCAAAUGAUGAAGAUAACUCAAAGUUUCACACUUGGUCCCUGCAACUUCAAGAACUUGACGAUCUGGUCCCCAUACUUUUCAUGCUUUGGCGGUUUUGGACUAAUUCCAGAUUUUGUUGCAAAUAAAGGGGUUUAUUGGUGCAUGAUUACAAUUUCAGCCCCUGAGUUUCUGGAAAGUGAUAAUUUCAGCCCAUUUUCGAGAAAGUUUACAAUUUUAAGGACUGGUGAACAGUUUUGAAUUCUUUAACGCACAUAUCUUUUUCGUGAACAGAAAAAUAAAGAUUUCGUCAAGUCUUGGCGGUUCGGAAAGUCGUUUUUCGUCAUAACGUCAUAUUUUCACGAUUUUUUUCGGAUUUUAUACUUCAUUGUGUAUAUCUUUUUGUCGCGGGGGAGCUUAGUAAUUUUCUAUCCAUUCAAGAUCAUUCUCAUGACCAUUUGAAGGCUUUAUAAUCAUGUUUUUGAUUAUAAAUCGGGGGAGAAUUUGGUAUGGCCAUUCGAAAUUGGAUUUGUGACUUUUCAAAGUUGAAGAUUUUUGAUAAAGCUUGUGGUAGAAUUAUGAAGGUAGCUUUUACAGUGGAAGUUCUUCAUCGAGCUCUGCUAAAGCUUUUACAGAGAAGUAUCCUUUACAGCGGAAGUUCUUUAUCGAGCUCUGCUAAGGACUUGUUAUAUCUCCGACUUCUUGUAUUUUCUCGAUCAAGUGGCGUUACGAAUCUUAAAGUUUGGGUUGUUACAUGAUAUUUUUUGAUGGCUUAUAUCAUUAGCUUAUUUGAAGAUCAUUGUGACUUGGAGGGAGAGCUCUUCAAAGACAAGAAGUGAUUCAGUUUCUUUGUUCUGAAAUGGGUUUUUAUGGCGGGUUUGGUUUUCAUGAAGAUUCUUUGGGAUUACAUUCGAAAAUGAAGUUUAAAGACAUUACUUCAGUGCCUGAUUUAUAUAUCCUAGAGCUCGUGUUUGAAGACUAUUGAAGAAUCAAGAUUCGUGGAUUGCUUCAUAUAUUCCUCGUUGCAGAUCUUUUUAUUUGCUAGAUGCUUGUUUUGGAAGUUAAAGCAUUGUCAUCCAUUCCACACUUUGAGGGGGAUAUUGUAGGGUUUCAAAGCACUCCAUGGAUGAUGGCAAUGGGCCCCUUUGACGAAUUCUAGGUUAAAAGCCCAAGACUUGUCUUUACCCUAUAAAUAGUCAUGUAUUAUUCACAAUUAGGGUUAAGAGAGUGAGGCAAAAUGUAGCCGCCACGUUGUGAGGUUUCUUGUAGAGUUAGAUUCUUAUUUCUUAAGUGUAAUUUAUUCCUCAUAUUUGAAUAAAUCGAGUGAUCAUUCGACAUAAUCUUCAUAUUUGUGUUUGUUCUUAUUUUCCGCAUCUUGUUCAUCAAAUCUCAAUUAGGGUUUUAAUCCCAACACUCAAGUACUCUCCUUCUUUACAAAUUGGAGAAACUUUUAUCCUUCUGCCUAAUUUGAUUCUUCUUAUUAGUUCUACUAUAUAUUAAAAAAUUUCAAUGAUUUAGAAUUACACUUGAUCUUGUAAGUAUAACCAUAUUUACUAAACUUUUAGUAAAUCAUAAUGAAUAGUCUUAUCGUUCUUUGUGGUUGACCUGACCAGUGCACAACCAAGUGUACCCGAUGCCCUAGUCCUUCACUUGACUCAAUAUAGAUGUGAACAAGGAAUUAGUCUUAAUUUCCCAAAGACGAAGGUUCUCAUUAAUCACACAAUACAAGUUGCAUGAUUCCAAGUUUUUAUCCAACUGAAACUUGGGUGAUGAGAAUCUUUCCUUAUUUGUAAAAUCUUGACACUACCACAAACGAAAGAAUCAAAUCCAUUUUCCAAUAAUGUUAUCAAUGGAAACACAUAAACAAGAAUUUUCACAAAUGCCAUUGCAAGGAAACUUAAAAUAAGAUAAAUCAAAAAUUUUUCUUUUAUUUAUAAAAUUGCGGAAAUUUUUUUCCUUACAAUGCAAUUACAAAUGAAACUAUGUUGUUAUCUAUUCCUAAGAAAUCUAUCAUAACUCUUAAGCAGCUGCUUAGAAUUCUGAUCAUCGAACCAUGCGAUCGAAAUCCAUCUCUUCGCGAUCAGAAUCAGCUUACUCUUCCUUUAAGCUUCCUUUCUUUUCUUCAAUCCUAAAAAUCAUUAAAAUGUAAUUACAUUACAUCAUGUAUUAAGAAUCUCUAAAUAGGAACUUAAUGGAGUUAGAUAGUGGGCUUACCUGAAGUAGAGUCAAACAUUUUGACUUUACCAUCCUUGCGAUCUUUCAGGUAAAUACGGCAGCUUCGCAACCAAUGCCCCCUUUUCUUGGCAAUAGAAACAUAAGGACUCUUUAGGAAUGGUACACGGGACUAUCUCAGACUUAGCCUUUCUCUUUACCAUUUGGUCAAUUGACUUGACCAUGGCCGAUCCCUUUCCAUUGGGAAGAGAUUACUUUUCUCGACUUCCAAUGUUUCCAUUGUCAAUGUCCAUGGAAGUUUGGGAAGUAGAUCUUCCAAUCAAAUUUGCUUUACCAGUGCGCCAAAUCAUUGCUAAUUCAGCAACAACAAGCAAAUAUGUUAGAUCAAUAAGGGUCAUGUCAUUAUCUCCCAUAUAAUAAUCCUUAAAGAACCCGCUAUAUGACUUAGGAAGUGAUUGAAGAACCAAGUCAGCAGCCAACUUCCUUGAAACAAUGACACUCAACAUUCCCAUCCUGUCAACGUGUGACUUCAUCUCCAAGACAUGUUCAUGCACAGAACUUCCAUCUUGGUGUUUGCUAGCCAAUGGGGUGUGAGUGACCUUGAACUUGUGGGUCAGGGAGAAUUAUUGGAGGAGGUGGAGGAAGAGAAGUUUCACUACAGCACAAAGAAGUGAUUAAUCUUUCACCUUGAUCGUCUUGUGGAAUAUCAUCUUUAUAAGGAAAUUUAUAUUCAAAAGAUUCGGGAAGACCAUAGUUGUCAAAAGUAGACAUCUACAUGGGAUAAAUUCAAUUUGGUUGAUUUAACUCCUUAAUAUAACACUCAAAUGAAAUAUUAAGGCUAGGAACCAACACAAUAUUUUACAAUUCAAAAGAGGGAUGUCGUAAUCCAAUUGCAAAAUAUUUGAAUGUAGAUAAAUCACAAUUUACCAAUUUCCACCAUGAAACACAAAAUUGAUUAUUAAGUUUUAAAUGAAUUGAAAUUCCUAGAUUCUUUUGAGAUUCAUUGAACUUUUCAACGGCAUGUUUAAUCUCGAUUAUGCCCUUCAACUUUGUGACUGAGAUACCGAGGAUCGUAAAUAAGGUGUGAAUAACUAUGAAAAUUAGCUUGGUACUCUCGAAGUCAUUUAUCACCUAAUCAAUAUGCCGGUUAACCACACACACUCCAUUGAUCUAUGACAAACUACGAGCUACACUUUUCCACCCUUACUAGUCCAAGUGAAUGUGUCGGUUAACCAUAAACGCUCCACUAACGACUUGGCAAGGUGCAAAGUGCAAUUUCAUAGGUUAGCAUCAAAUUCACAUUUUUCCUAAAGUAACUAAGAUUGGGAAUUUAUAAUGGUUUUGUUACUUUAUAAUUCAUUAUACUUGUAAUGAGGGUUUAGUGUCCUAUCCUACUCGUUUGGCUAACGACCCUCCACCAGUCAAGGAAACGGUGAGUGAGAGUGGGCACCCAUUAAACCGCCAUUUUAUAGGCAGCAACCUUAUACCCCUCUUAUAGACCGGCUUCACAAAUGAGGCCUACUAACGGUAAGAUUGAACUUUUACUUAUACAUAUAUAAUAUAUUAAACUUUUAAUUUUAUAUAGUAUAAGGGUGUAUUUUAAACUUUUAAAAUACUUGGUGGUUUAAUUCUAUUAAUAAAUUAUACUCUUAAUUUAAUUAAACUUAAACCAUGUUGUUAUGGAUUUAUUAAUCAUCUCCUUUAAUUAAACACUUUAAUUAAUCAUACAUACUUAUAAAGCUAGCAUUUUUCCUUGAACCUCAUGCAUUUGAAACCCCCAUAAAAAUUUGCAAACACCUCGUGCAUUUGAAACCUCAUAUUUUAAUGAAUACCACUCAAAAGUCUCUUAAUAAUGAUUAACAAUNUAUACUCUACUAUAAAAAGGUCGAUCUUUUUUAGUAGACACACAAAUACAAAUCAUAUACAAAAUUCACAAAGAAACAAGCUUAAAGUUUUUUGUGUUGGUUUGAGGGCUUUGAACAAUUUUUCGAGUCAUGUUAUUAUGUUGAAAAUUUUAAUUUGUAAGUUUGUUAUAUACUAAUUCUUUUUUGUAUUUUCUUUAUUUAAGUAUUCUUUUAAGAAUAUCAUUGUAUGUUGUGGUUGAAAUUUUAAUGUAAAUUAGAUUAGAUUAAUGUUAUCGAUAAUAUGUUAUGGAAGGUGAAAUAUAUAAUAUUUAAUUAACUAUUGUAUAUAUGUUUGUAUCUUCAUGUUGCUUCAAAACAAUAAUUAAUUAAAAAUCAUGGAUAUGUCAUAUUAUCCAUAUUAUCCUUGUAAGCAUUUUUUAAAAUGGAAAUUGUCUAUCUUAUCACUUUAUAUUUUAGUAUAUGUUUAACAUUUUAAUUAUAGUAAUAAGUGCUUUUUAAAAGUUUCUUUCAUUUAUUAAUAAUAACAAGUGGUUUUAAAAUUAAUAAGCAAUAAUUAUAAAUAAUAAAAUCAAAUUACAUGGAUAUGUCAUAUUAUCCAUGCAAGUCUCUUUUGAAAUGCAAAUUGUAUAUCUUAUCACUUUAUUAUUUAGUGUAUGUUUCACAUUUUAAUAAUAAUAUUAAGUGUUUNAUUUAAUUUAUUAAUAAUAAUAAGUGGUUUAAAAUUAAUGAAUAACAAUUUUUAAAUGAUAAUAACAUCAAAUUAUAAGUUACAUUUAGCUAUAAAUAAAUUAUAUUUUGAAUGAACAUCAUUAUUGAAAUUAGAAAAUGAUCGCAUAAGUAAAUAUAAUUAAUCAAUAAUAAUAAUUGUUAAAAAAAUGAUAAAUAGAUAAUUAUAUUUAAUUCUAUUAAUGAGGAAUGUGGAUUGAUGUCAAUGAAUAUUAUUGUUCAAAAUAAUUGAGAUUAUAUAUAUAUAUAUAUAUAUAUAUAUAUAUAUAUANACAUAUAUUUUUCAAUAUUUUAACAAUAUAUUUUUAAUAUUCACCGUGCAACGUGCGAGAAUUCGUCUUGUUUAAUACAAUCCAUAAGAGGUAACUUGAACUAUUCAAAAGACAUUAAGGUUCUAAACAUAAAAUACAAAAUUAAAACUAUUUAAUUAAUUUUAAGUUAUGAACCCAAGAGUUGCACCUUUUAAUUACAAAAGUUUUAUAAAUCAACGUUUCAUAAUUUGAGACUUUUCAAAUACCAAACAUUGAGGGCAAUUUUGUAAAUCUUGAAACCUUUUGAGUUCCAAACUUGAUGACAAGAUUUGUAACUCCAUAAAAAACUUUUGAGUUCCAAAACUUGAUGGAAAGUUUUGUAAUUCCUAAAAACAUUUAGAUCAAAUUUUAAAACCAAUAAAAUAAUCAUAAUUUUAUCUUUUACAAAUUUUACUUAAUGCAACUCUUAUAGUAAGAUAACUUCAAAUCAAAUUUUACAAACAAUUAGUUUAUCAUAUAAACUAGUAAAAAAUUUCAAAAUUUGACAAUUUCUCUUUUAAUUGGAUGGAAUAAUCAUUACCAUAUCAAGAAAAAAACAUAUUUUAUGAAACAAAACAGUUUAAGGUAAUGAUCUGAAUCCAAUUCUGGCCAAAACCCCCAAAAAAACUACAAUCAGGCUACAGAACUCGUCGAGUCAGCUUAUGGAUUCGUUGAGUUCACUAUGAACUCGUCGAGUUCAUGAGUGGACUCGUCGAGUUCAUGAGUGGACUCGUCGAGUCCCCCUUGCAGAGUGCAGUUUUUCGACUUUUCCAACUUUGAAAAAUUAAGCAUGCAUCAAUAUAACAUAAAACAAUCCAUGGAUCUGAUACCACUGUUGGGUUUUGUAUACUACAACACUCCUAUGCUGCACAUACAACCCUAAUGCUUUGGAUCUGUGUUUUCUCAAGUUAUACAUGAAUAAAAAUAUCCAAAGCAUGAAGCCUACAACUAGCAUACAAUUUGAUACUUGAAUCAUAAAAAUAGAUUAGAUGAUUACCUCUUUGUUGUAGGUUGAUGUAUUUGGCCUUUACGAACUUAGCACCCCAAGUGAGAUGCCUCAAACGGUUCACAACACACCAUGAACAACUGGAGGACUUUAAGAGAGAGUUUCUAGGCACCAAAAUUCAACUAUAGCAUCUCCAAGAUCACUAGUGUCCAAUUUUAGGCUAUGGGAUAACAUAUAUACAGUGUAAGAUUCCAAGCAUCAUGGGUAAACCCUAAUCCAUACAUAUAGGCUUACGAUCCAUAUCUCUUGUUGGCUAACUCUUCAUGGAUACAUACAUAAACUUAACCCAUCAUGGAUCAAUAGCCCAAACAAUAUAUNNNNNNNNNNNNNNNNNNNNNNNNNNNNNNNNNNNNNNNNNNNNNNNNNNNNNNNNNNNNNNNNNNNNNNNNNNNNNNNNNNNNNNNNNNNNNNNNNNNNAUACCAAUAAUAGUUAUGGGCUUAGACAUCUAAUCCAACAGUCCCCCACUUGGAUAAGUUAAACUAUUAUUGCAAGUAUGACUUCAUAACCCGACUAGCAAUCGUAGCUUUUAAAGCCGCUGUCGAACUCUGAACAAAUCAAUGACACGUCCAUUAGAUAAGGGAUCAUAUAUUCCUCCAUUCUAGAUAUCAUAUGGACUGAGACAUGGAUUAUAAUCAUUCUCUCUGUCCAUUUGUUGUUUCCUGAUUUCCGAUUUAUGACAACUGACUAAUUGAACAAAUCAAAUCAGUCCUGGCCCGGCCGAGCACUUCCAUUUGUCAUCAUCAAAUCAUCGAGGGGCCCACAGAUAUCGCUUUUAUCCCGAAGGUAAAAGGAACGGAUAAACUUCGACUCAUAUGGCUUGUUCUACUACUUGUUGAAUCAUACACAAA
RNAcentral lists this long non-coding RNA (24314 nucleotides) under Lactuca sativa (garden lettuce). RNAcentral describes it as "long non-coding RNA (LSAT_LNC001488)". Lineage: Eukaryota; Viridiplantae; Streptophyta; Magnoliopsida; Asterales; Asteraceae. The record is from RNAcentral.